CGGGCCCGCGCGGAGACUACAGCUCCCGGCAGCCCCGCGCCGGCCCGCGCCCCCGCCCCUCGCGCGCCCCCGCCCCGCACGCCCCGGCCCCCCGCCCUCAGGCCUCAGGACGGGACAGGGAGGAGGAGAGAGGAAGGGGCCGCCAGCGGCGGGCGGGAUUCUGCGAGGCGCGUGAAGCCUCGCUGGCGCCUCGUCCGCGAUCCAGACGCUGGCGGGCGCGGAGUUUCUCACGACCGGCCGAGCCCGCCUCUCCUCGCUCGGAGUUGUUCUCACCCCCACCCCCGGGAGCUCGCUCUUAAGAUGAAACACUGAGGAGUGCGACUGUUUCUUUGAGCAAUACAAAUAACCACAUACUACUCGGUUGCCUGUUGGAUAUUUUAUUUGAAGUCAUCGCGAUCAGAAGCAUGGGCCUUGCACUCUGCAGGUACGGAUGUAAAUCAAGCGACAGGCGUGUGUGAGACCUGCACCCUUUUCCAUACACUGAUUGAUGGCUUGGAAGUAACUGUCUCUUCAACCACACCCAUCCCCACAGGAAAUAAGACUAUCGGUGGCAUCUUUGAUUAGGAAGGAUAAGUUACACCCUGAACUAUUUGGUACGACACAGCCUUAAAUGAGUUGUAGCUGCAGAUGAAACAAGAACUUCUAAAAUGCGUUAAUUUGUACCCUAGAAAAUGUUACCGUGUUACUGUUACACUGCUUCUACUUUGUACUUAGUGAUGUAGUUCUUUCUCACAUUUUUAGCGACUAGAUCCAGCUUACGCAGUGAGGGCUGGGAAUACUUACGGAUUUGCUGCUGAAGACAUCCCAUCAAGGUCCCCGACCGAGAUCUAGGCCAGUUUUACUUUUUCAAGGAACCCUUUCCUCCUCCCCUGCUAGGAUCUGGAUUGAGAGCAAGCCUGGAAGUUCAGCCAAAAAGAAGUUAGAAGUUUUGAUAAAAGUGUUUAAAACGUGUUACCGAAGCCUUCAUGUUAGGUUUUGCUUUAGUGGGUAAUACAGGUCUGGUAGGCUUGAUCACAUGAGCUCGG
This 1025-nucleotide long non-coding RNA is filed under the name Equus asinus (donkey). Its description in RNAcentral is "lncRNA (ENSEASG00005028580.1)". Lineage: Eukaryota; Metazoa; Chordata; Mammalia; Perissodactyla; Equidae. The record is from RNAcentral.